RNAcentral lists this ribosomal RNA (277 nucleotides) under uncultured bacterium. RNAcentral's name for it is "partial 16S ribosomal RNA". It matches the Rfam family "Bacterial small subunit ribosomal RNA", at positions 44 to 334 of the family's 1533-position model. The record is from RNAcentral.
GCGCCUAACACAUGCAAGUCGAACGAGAAAGCGGGAGCAAUCUCGCAAGUACAGUGGCGUACGGGUGAGUAACACGUGGAUUAUCUGCCCUGGAGUGGGGAAUAACGCCGGGAAACCGGCGCUAAUACCGCAUAUUCCCGAGAGGGGAAAGCAGCAAUGCGCUCGAGGAGGAGUCCGCGGCCGAUUAGCUAGUUGGCAGGUAAAAGCCUACCAAGGCAGUGAUCGGUAGCCGGCCUGAGAGGGCACACGGCCACACUGGCACUGAAACACGGGCCAG